CCCUCAUCAUGCUUCAGGCUGGAGCUUCUAUGAUGGAUCCAAACCACUUCCUGAUGAUCGUGUUGAGCCGUUUUGAGCUCUAUCAUAUCUUCAGCUCAGCAGACUGCAGAAAGAGAUACAGCAGAGAGAAUGCUCACAAGGAUGUGGUUCAGCAGAAUAACACACUAACUGAGGAGAUGCUGCAUCUGGUCAUUAUGAUCGUGGGUGAGUGAUCAUUUCUCAACAUGUCUUUUGAGCAUUGUUAUGUGGGUGUAUUAAGCUUAUCAUAA
Cyprinus carpio (common carp) is the source of this 269-nucleotide long non-coding RNA. RefSeq lists it as uncharacterized. NCBI's taxonomy places the organism in Eukaryota, Metazoa, Chordata, Actinopteri, Cypriniformes, Cyprinidae. The record is from RefSeq and is a predicted model, not a curated record. The transcript has 3 exons.